CCCCUUUUAGUGAUUAAAAGAAAAUACAAAAGAGUCUUUGAGAUCAUAGAUAAAAGGUGGGAUAGUAAGCUUCAUAGCCCAGUGUCUAGCCGUUCGCCGAAGGAAGGGAUUCUUUAUCAAAGUCUCCGACAUGCAGCUGGACUUGUUUUGAACCCGGAACUGUUUUACGCCAAUGAAAGAGGAUUCUAGGAGAUGAACCUUUGUGGAGUGGAUACUAUGAAUGCAUUGAGAAGUUGAUACCUGAAGAAUCCGUGCAAGAUAAAAUUACAGAGCAAUUUAGUAUUUAUAGGAACGCUGAACAACUUUUUGGAAAUAACAUGGCCAUUAGACAGAGAACGACGAAGUCACCAAGUGAGCGAGGGCUUAUAUGUUGAUUUAUAGUUAAUAAGUUAUUCUUUACUAAUAUUAUGUUUUCAAAAAUUUGUUAUACUUCUACAGUUGAAUGGUGGAAGCAAUAUGGUCAUUCCACUCCAGAUUUACAAAAGUUUGCCAUAAAGGUUCUAAGUCUAACAUGUAGUUCAUCCGGAUGUGAAAGUAAUUGGAGCGUGUUUGAGCAUGUAAUAACUAAGAAGAAAUAUUUAGUAUAUUGAGAUAAUUAAAUUAAAUCUCAAUUGUUCUAAUCUUACUAAUUACUUAUUAUUUGCAGAUUCCUACCAAAAAGAGGAACAAACUAACCUUGAAGCGUCUCAAUGAUCUAGUCUUCAUUAAGUACAAUAGAA
This 719-nucleotide long non-coding RNA is filed under the name Nicotiana benthamiana. RNAcentral describes it as "long non-coding RNA (NBEN_LNC011873)". The record is from RNAcentral. Lineage: Eukaryota; Viridiplantae; Streptophyta; Magnoliopsida; Solanales; Solanaceae.